GAUCAUGGCUCAGGAUGAACGCUAGCUACAGGCUUAACACAUGCAAGUCGAGGGGUAGCAGGGUAGCAAUACCGCUGACGACCGGCGCACGGGUGAGUAACACGUAUCCAACCUUCCCAUAACUCAGGGAUAGCCUUUCGAAAGAAAGAUUAAUACCUGAUAGUACUUUUUCAAGGCAUCUUGAGAAAGUUAAAGAUUUAUUGGUUAUGGAUGGGGAUGCGUUCCAUUAGAUAGUUGGUGAGGUAACGGCUCACCAAGUCUUCGAUGGAUAGGGGUUCUGAGAGGAAGGUCCCCCACAUUGGUACUGAGACACGGACCAAACUCCUACGGGAGGCAGCAGUGAGGAAUAUUGGUCAAUGGGCGAGAGCCUGAACCAGCCAAGUAGCGUGAAGGAAUGAAGGUCCUAUGGAUUGUAAACUUCUUUUAUAGUAGAAUAAAGUGAUCCACGUGUGGAUUUUUGUAUGUAUACUAUGAAUAAGGAUCGGCUAACUCCGUGCCAGCCGCGGC
RNAcentral lists this ribosomal RNA (507 nucleotides) under uncultured bacterium. Its description in RNAcentral is "bacterial SSU rRNA". It matches the Rfam family "Bacterial small subunit ribosomal RNA", at positions 15 to 518 of the family's 1533-position model. The record is from RNAcentral.